Molecule: ribosomal RNA, 498 nt
Filed under: uncultured bacterium
Lineage: Bacteria
Description: partial 16S ribosomal RNA
Rfam family: Bacterial small subunit ribosomal RNA
Source: RNAcentral
AUUGAACGCUGGCGGCAUGCCUUACACAUGCAAGUCGAACGGUAACAGGUCUUCGGAUGCUGACGAGUGGCGAACGGGUGAGUAAUACAUCGGAACGUGCCUAGUAGUGGGGGAUAACUACUCGAAAGAGUGGCUAAUACCGCAUGAGAUCUACGGAGGAAAGCAGGGGAUCGCAAGACCUUGUGCUACUAGAGCGGCCGAUGGCAGAUUAGGUAGUUGGUGGGAUAAAAGCUUACCAAGCCGACGAUCUGUAGCUGGUCUGAGAGGACGAUCAGCCACACUGGGACUGAGAAACGGCCCAGACUCCUACGGGAGGCAGCAGUGGGGAAUUUUGGACAAUGGGCGCAAGCCUGAUCCAGCAAUGCCGCGUGCAGGAUGAAGGCCUUCGGGUUGUAAACUGCUUUUGUACGGAACGAAAAGCGCCGGGUUAAUACCCUGGGGUCAUGACGGUACCGUAAGAAUAAGCACCGGCUAACUACGUGCCAGCCGCCGCCGUAA